This 391-nucleotide long non-coding RNA is filed under the name Nicotiana benthamiana. RNAcentral describes it as "long non-coding RNA (NBEN_LNC042447)". Lineage: Eukaryota; Viridiplantae; Streptophyta; Magnoliopsida; Solanales; Solanaceae. The record is from RNAcentral.
UUAUACUGUUUAUUGACUGGUAGGUGUCUUGACUGUUCCUCGUCACUACUCCACCGAAGUUAGUCUUGAUACUUACUGAGCACUGCCGUGGUGUGCUCACGCUACUCUUCUGUACAUUUUUGUUGUGCAGAUACAUGUACCCUCCACUCAGUUUUGUCAGCCUUGGAAGGAGGCGUAUCGAUAGAGAUUUCGAGGUAUAUCUGCUACGUCCGCAGACCAAAGAGUCCCUUUCCAGAUUUCUGUAAUAAGUAUAGCUCCUUCAAUAUUUCUCCUUUGUAUAGAUAUUCUUGAGUCAGAGCCUCGUAUAUAUCCCUUAGCUUGUAAUUUGUGAGAUUCCGGGUUAUGAAAAUUUUUGUUAGCCUCAAGAGUCGUUAUUGUAUGUACCGAGCAG